This 460-nucleotide ribosomal RNA is filed under the name uncultured bacterium. Its description in RNAcentral is "partial 16S ribosomal RNA". It matches the Rfam family "Bacterial small subunit ribosomal RNA", at positions 338 to 795 of the family's 1533-position model. The record is from RNAcentral.
CCUACGGGGGGCAGCAGUGAGGAAUAUUGGUCAAUGGACGAGAGUCUGAACCAGCCAAGUAGCGUGAAGGAUGACUGCCCUAUGGGUUGUAAACUUCUUUUAUAUGGGAAUAAAAUGUUCCACGUGUGGGAUUUUGUAUGUACCAUAUGAAUAAGGAUCGGCUAACUCCGUGCCAGCAGCCGCGGUAAUACGGAGGAUCCGAGCGUUAUCCGGAUUUAUUGGGUUUAAAGGGAGCGUAGGUGGAUUGUUAAGUCAGUUGUGAAAGUUUGCGGCUCAACCGUAAAAUUGCAGUUGAAACUGGCAGUCUUGAGUACUGUAGAGGUGGGCGGAAUUCGUGGUGUAGCGGUGAAAUGCUUAGAUAUCACGAAGAACUCUGAUUGCGAAGGCAGUUCACUGGACUGCAACUGACACUGAGGCUCGAAAGUGUGGGUAUCAAACAGGAUUAGAUACCCGUGUAGUC